AACAAUUCAACAAUCUGGUAGCACUCGCCACG
RNAcentral lists this non-coding RNA (32 nucleotides) under Geobacter sulfurreducens KN400. Lineage: Bacteria; Pseudomonadati; Thermodesulfobacteriota; Desulfuromonadia; Geobacterales; Geobacteraceae. The record is from RNAcentral.